AGGGAAGGCUGGCGGCAGGCCUAACACAUGCAAGUCGAGCGGAUGAAGGGAGCUUGCUCCUGGAUUCAGCGGCGGACGGGUGAGUAAUGCCUAGGAAUCUGCCUGGUAGUGGGGGAUAACGUCCGGAAACGGGCGCUAAUACCGCAUACGUCCUGAGGGAGAAAGUGGGGGAUCUUCGGGCCUCACGCUAUCAGAUGAGCCUAGGUCGGAUUAGCUAGUUGGUGGGGUAAAGGCCUACCAAGGCGACGAUCCGUAACUGGUCUGAGAGGAUGAUCAGUCACACUGGAACUGAGACACGGUCCAGACUCCUACGGGAGGCAGCAGUGGGGAAUAUUGGACAAUGGGCGAAAGCCUGAUCCAGCCAUGCCGCGUGUGUGAAGAAGGUCUUCGGAUUGUAAAGCACUUUAAGUUGGGAGGAAGGGCAGUAAGUUAAUACCUUGCUGUUUUGACGUUACCAACAGAAUAAGCACCGGCUAACUUCGUG
Molecule: ribosomal RNA, 484 nt
Filed under: uncultured bacterium
Lineage: Bacteria
Description: partial 16S ribosomal RNA
Rfam family: Bacterial small subunit ribosomal RNA
Source: RNAcentral